AACUUACAAGAUUGUAAUAAGAAUCCAAAUGCAUGAUCUACAUAAAGGACUUAGUGUUAAACACUGAACUAGGAGAAAGUGUUCAACAAAUGGCAUUAUGGAAAUAGAAGAACAGAAUAGAAGAUCUGCAUUUUAAAAAAUAUAUAGAUAUGUUCUUUAAUAUACGCAUGUUAAUUAAUUUUAUUCCAAACCCCUUGGCAGUUCUUGUUGUACAGGUUAGUACAAUGUUGAAUAUAAGUGGUAAGAAUUCGGGGUAAAAUGUUCAGUCUUUUACCAUUAAAUAUACUGUUAGCUGCAAAUUUUUGUAGAUGCCCUUGGUCAGAUUGAUAAGCUUUCUUUUCAUUUUAGUUUUCUGAGAUUUUAAACAAUCAUAAAUAGGUAUUGAAUUAUGUCCAGCGAUUUUUUUGGAUCUAGUAAAAUGACCAUAUAAUUUUUGUUUUGUUCUGUUAAUGUGGUGAAUUACAUUGUUUAACUUUACAACAUGAGACCAAUCCUGGGAUAAAAAAUCCUUAGUCUUGAUGUGUUAAACUUUUUACAUAUUUCUUGAUUUGAUUUGCUAAUAUUUUAUGAUUCAGGGAUUAUUUAUAAAUGUGCCACUUGAUUGCUAAACAUUUGGAACUUCUUGUUUUUUUCUUUAGUUUUUUCAGUUUUUUAUUCUGUAUUUAGAAGCUCUAUUAUUAAUCUGUAUGCACAUAAUAAAUUUUGCAUUUAAAAAAAUAAGUGGCCAAAUAGUAAACAAUUUAGGUUUUGGGUGUCAUACUGUCUCUGUCACAACCCACAUCUGUCUUUGUAGCUCUAAAGUAGACAAAAACAAUAUGUAAUCAAAUAAGGAUGGCUGCAUUCAUAAAACUUCAUUUAAAACAGAAACAGGUACAACAAUUAACUCAAGAUGGAUUAAAGACAGAAAUGUAAAACCUAGAACCAUAAAAACCCUAGAAGAAAACUUAGGCAAUACCGUUUAGGACAUAGGCAUGGGCAAAGACUUCAUGACUAAUUCACCAAAAGCAAUGGCAACAAAAGCCAAAAUUGACAAAUGGGAUCUAAUUAAACUAAAGCGCUUCUGCACGGCAAAAGACACUAGCAUCAGAGUGAACAGGCAAACUACAGAAUGGGAGAAAAUUUUUGCAAUCUACCCUUCUGACAAAGGCCUAAUAUCCAGAAUCUACAAGGAACUUAAACAAAUUUACAAGAAAAAAAUACACAACCCCAUCAAAAAAGUGGGCAAAGGAUAUGAACAGACACUUCUCAAAAGAAGACAUUUAUGUGGCCAACAAACAUAUGAAAAAAAGCUCAUCAUAACUGGUCAUUAGAAAAAUGCAAAUUAAACCACAGUGAGAUACCAUCUCAUGCCAGUUAGAAUGGCAAUCAAUUGAAAAGUCUGGAAACAACAGAUGCUGGAGAGGAUGUGGAGAACUAGGAACACUUUUACACUGUUGGUGGGAGUGUAAAUUACUUCAGCCAUUGUGGAAGACAGUGUGGUGAUUCCUCAAGGAUCCAGAACUAGAAAUACCAUUCGAUCCAGGAGUCCCAUUACUGGGUAUAUACCCAGGGAUUAUAAAUCAUUCUACUAUAAAGACACAUGCAUACAUAUGUUUAUUGCAGCACUAUUUACAAUAGCAAAGACUUGGAACCCACCCAAAUGCCCAUCAAUGAUAGACUGGAUAAAGAAAAUGUGGCACGUAUACACCAUGGAAUACUAUACAGCCAUAAAAAAGAAUGCGUUCAUAUCCUUUGCAGGGACAUGGAUGAAACUAGAAACCAUCAUUCUCAGCAAACUAACACAGGAACACAAAACCAAACACCGCAUGUUCUCCUCAUAAGUGAGAGUUGAACAAUGAGAACACAUGGACACAGGAAGGGGAACAUCACACACCAGGGCCUGUCAGGGUGUGGGGGGAAAGGGGAGGGAGAGCAUUAAGACAAACACCUAAUGCAUGUGGGACUUAAAACCUAGAUGACAGGUUGAUGAGUGCAGCAAACCACCAUGGCACAUGUAUACCUAUGUAAGAAACCUGCACGUUCUGCACAUGUAUCCCAGAACUUAAAGUAAAAUAUAAAAAAUGAAAGAAACAGGUAGCAGGCCAGAUUUGGUUCACAGACUGUUAUUUGCUCAUUCGUGAAACAGAAUUGAUAUGUCUUUUAAUGAAUAAACUUUUUGUCAUUAUGUAAUGGUGAUGUCUCUGGUGGUACUCUUUUCUUGACAUCUACAUUGCCUUAUUAAUAUAAAUACUUCUUUCUCAUUCUUACUAUUUUCAUAUUUUUUCUUUUAAUAUAUUUAUGUAUUUACAUUUAAUGCAUUUCUUUCUAAAUAGCAUACAGUUGGGCAUUGCUUUUUUUCCACUCUAAUACUCUCUGUUUUUUAAUUGGAGUAUCUAGUUCAUUGCCUUUUAUGUGAUUAUCAGUAUGGUUGGGUUUAAAACAAUCAUUUUGCUUCUUGUUUCCUAUUUGUUCUAUCUUUUCUUGAGACUCCACUAUUUCCUUCUACCUUCUUUUUGACUAGUCAAUUUUUUUAUAUUUCAUUUUACCUCCUCUUUUAAAUUUUUAUCUGUAACUCUUUUAUUUUUAGUGAUUUCUUUAGUUAUUUUAAUAUGUAUCCUUAACUUAUCACAGUCUAUUUUAAAUUAAUAUUACAGCACUUCCUUAUAAGGUAAGAAUCUUCCAAACUAUACUAUGAUUUAUACACUUGUACUUUGUGCUAUUAUUGUCAUCCAUUUGACUUUUACAGAUAAUUUAAACCACACGAUAUAUUGUUAUUACUUGUGAUUUAAACAAUCUGUGUUUGUGUCUGAAAUGUCACUAUCUGGAUGAUCUGAGCAUCUGUUAUAUUGUCUGUUGUUUUUCUUGGUUUCCAUCCCGUAGUUUUGUCUCCCUGUGUGCCUGAUCUUUUAAAUUUCAUGCCAGUUGUUGGUAUUUGAAAAAUUAUAGAGGUAAUUUGAAGUCUAAAGUAAACUUCAUCUCAAAUAAUAUUUGCAUUUGUUUCUGGCAGAUUGUUGGAACAAAAGCAAUACCAGCUUACCUUAAUCCACUCAGGAACAGAGGUGAUUCAAAACUGAAUGUCAGUCCUUGUGAGGGCUGGACUACAUCAGUUUACCCUCAGUCCUUAGGUGGAGGUCUCGUCCUAAAAUUUGGAGAUUUGUAGGGCCCUCCCUCUCCUUGGAAGCCUCUACAUUCUAGUUUGCACCCUCCUAAGCUCACAGUGCUGUUGAAAGCUCAGUUUAGCUUCCCAGCCUCUGAAACUUCUCUUGUAGAAUUAGCUACUGUCUCUGCAGAAAAGUAGUCCAAAUAUCAGGCUUGCCUCUCUGGGUUUUCUUCUCUGUGCUUUUGUUUGGUAUUCAUUUCUUCCUUUGUAGCUCACCAAUAUUCUCAUAUUUUUAAAAACAUUGUUUAUCAAACUUUUCUAGUUGUUCUUGGCAGUAGAAUUGGUUCAGAUCAACCAGUUGACCAAGCUGAAUACAUUUUUUCAUAAUUCCU
This 3471-nucleotide long non-coding RNA is filed under the name Homo sapiens (human). RNAcentral's name for it is "non-protein coding lnc-NECAB1-2:1". Lineage: Eukaryota; Metazoa; Chordata; Mammalia; Primates; Hominidae. The record is from RNAcentral.